RNAcentral lists this ribosomal RNA (497 nucleotides) under uncultured bacterium. Its description in RNAcentral is "partial 16S ribosomal RNA". It matches the Rfam family "Bacterial small subunit ribosomal RNA", at positions 28 to 507 of the family's 1533-position model. The record is from RNAcentral.
GACGAACGCUGGCGGCGUGCCUAAUACAUGCAAGUUGAGCGCUGAAGGUUGGUACUUGUACCAACUGGAUGAGCAGCGAACGGGUGAGUAACGCGUGGGGAAUCUGCCUUUGAGCGGGGGACAACAUUUGGAAACGAAUGCUAAUACCGCAUAAAAACUUUAAACACAAGUUUUAAGUUUGAAAGAUGCAAUUGCAUCACUCAAAGAUGAUCCCGCGUUGUAUUAGCUAGUUGGUGAGGUAAAGGCUCACCAAGGCGAUGAUACAUAGCCGACCUGAGAGGGUGAUCGGCCACAUUGGGACGGAGACACGGCCCAAACUCCUACGGGAGGCAGCAGUAGGGAAACUUCGGCAAUGGACGAAAGUCUGACCGAGAAACGCCGCGUGAGUGAAGAAGGUUGUCGGAUCGUAAAACUCGGUUGGUAGAGAAGAACGUUGGUGAGAGUGGAAAGCUCAUCAAGUGACGGUAACUACCCAGAAAGGGACGGCUAACUACGUG